GACGAACGCUGGCGGCGUGCCUAAUACAUGCAAGUUGAGCGCUGAAGGUUGGUACUUGUACCAACUGGAUGAGCAGCGAACGGGUGAGUAACGCGUGGGGAAUCUGCCUUUGAGCGGGGGACAACAUUUGGAAACGAAUGCUAAUACCGCAUAAAAACUUUAAACACAAGUUUUAAGUUUGAAAGAUGCAAUUGCAUCACUCAAAGAUGAUCCCGCGUUGUAUUAGCUAGUUGGUGAGGUAAAGGCUCACCAAGGCGAUGAUACAUAGCCGACCUGAGAGGGUGGUCGGCCACAUUGGGACUGAGACACGGCCCAAACUCCUACGGGAGGCAGCAGGAGGGAAUCUUCGGCAAUGGACGAAAGUCUGACCGAGCAACGCCGCGUGAGUGAAGAAGGUUUUCGGAUCGUAAAACUCUGUUGGUAGAGAAGAACGUUGGUGAGAGUGGAAAGCUAAUCAAGUGACGGUAACUACCCAGAAAGGGACGGCUAACUACGUG
This 497-nucleotide ribosomal RNA is filed under the name uncultured bacterium. Its description in RNAcentral is "partial 16S ribosomal RNA". It matches the Rfam family "Bacterial small subunit ribosomal RNA", at positions 28 to 507 of the family's 1533-position model. The record is from RNAcentral.